CUCAGUGUAGUUUUGUAUCUGUAAAAUUAGGGAGUUGGCCUUAAUGAUCUCAAAGGUCCUUUCAGCCAUGGGUGGGAAAAUAGUAUCUAAAUCCAAGGGGUAUAUACUUCUGCUGCUCUUGUUUACCUCUGAUGCAAGUCCCGAAGCUCAGGAACCCUAGUGCCACCUGAAGGACUGGGCAGAUACAGGCUAAUGGGGAUCUCCAGGGCCAUGAGAAGGGUGACUUCUACAGAGGAGGUGGGGAAGACCAGGAGCUGCUCCAGCCCUGAGUGGGAAGCCAGUGCCUCCCCACUCACUGGAAAACUCAAAGACCUUUCUUGUACGUUAGCUCAUUUGAUUCUUCCCUCUCCCUAAUAAGGUUAGUUAUUUAUGGUAGCCUCAUAUGUGUCCAUAGGGCAGAGACAGAGAGAAUGCUUAUGGGAAUGGAAACAUAUUUUUAAGAACAUCCAGGAACUCAGGGUAGGAAAGAGGCAGCCAGCUGGCGUCAUAGGCUCUUGAUUCCAGGCUAUGAGGCAGGUUUCUCAAGUUACCAGGAAAGUUUCUCCACCAGUGCUGAGGACCCACCUUACUUCUCUGUAUCCUACACUCACUGAUUGACUGGCUCCCACUCACCAUAGAACCAGUCCUCCUAUUGGGCUGAGUUCACACUGUCACCUCCAAGAUACCUGUGACAAGAUAAUUGUGAUAUUAAUUCAUUUGCUGUAUUUUUCCAUUGCCUUCUCUUUCCAAGCAGGCACUGCUAGUCAAGUUUUUUGUUUUUUCUUGCCUUAGGAAUUCUUGCAGAGCAGAAGAUAGAAGCUCCUUGAAGUUAAUAUAUCUUUCUUUCUGGAGAGAUUCUCCUUCUGGCCUUGAAGGAGAAGCAAGAAUUCUACAGCUAUAAGAAAAUUAAUUCUGCCAACAACCACAUGAACUUGGAAGAAGACCCUGAACUGCAGCAGCUAAGGCCUCCAUCCAGGUGGAGGAUGGUGACUCCAUGCUGAGACCCCAGAC
Molecule: non-coding RNA, 990 nt
Organism: Vicugna pacos (alpaca)
Lineage: Eukaryota; Metazoa; Chordata; Mammalia; Artiodactyla; Camelidae
Source: RefSeq, a predicted model, not a curated record